RNAcentral lists this ribosomal RNA (459 nucleotides) under uncultured bacterium. RNAcentral describes it as "bacterial SSU rRNA". It matches the Rfam family "Bacterial small subunit ribosomal RNA", at positions 340 to 786 of the family's 1533-position model. The record is from RNAcentral.
UACGGAAGGCAGCAGUGGGGAAUAUUGCACAAUGGGCGCAAGCCUGAUGCAGCCAUGCCGCGUGUAUGAAGAAGGCCUUAGGGUUGUAAAGUACUUUCAUCGGGGAGGAAAAAACAAAAACUAAUAAUUUUAUUUCUUGACGUUACCCGAAAAAGAAAGCACCGGCUAACUCCGUGCCAGCAGCCGCGGUAAUACGGAGGGUGCUAGCGUUAAUCAGAAUUACUGGGCGUAAAGAGCACGUAGGUGGUUUUUUUAAGUUCAGAUGUGAAAUCCCUGGGCUUAACCUAGGAACUGCAUUUUGAAACUGAAAUACUAGAGUAUCGUAGAGGGAGGUAGAAUUCUAGGUGUAGCGGUGAAAUGCGUAGAUAUCUGGAGGAAUACCUGUGGCGAAAGCGGCCUCCUAAACGAAUACUGACACUGAGGUGCGAAAGCGUGGGGAGCAAACAGGGAUUAGAUACC